This is a transfer RNA of 73 nucleotides. It matches the Rfam family "tRNA". From Rfam's summary of the family: Transfer RNA (tRNA) molecules are approximately 80 nucleotides in length. Their secondary structure includes four short double-helical elements and three loops (D, anti-codon, and T loops). The record is from Rfam.
GCCACUUUAGCUCAGUAGGUAGAGCGCCACCAUGGUAAGGUGGAGGUCACCGGUUCAAACCCGGUAAGUGGCU